UACAGAGGGUGCAAGCGUUAAUCGGAUUUACUGGGCGUAAAGGGCGCGUAGGUGGUUGCUUAAGUGAGAUGUGAAAUCCCCGGGCUUAACCUGGGAACUGCAUCUUAUACUGGGUAACUGGAGUGCAAUAGAGGGUAGUGGAAUUUCCGGUGUAGCGGUGAAAUGCGUAGAUAUCGGAAGGAACACCAGUGGCGAAGGCGGCUACCUGGAUUGACACUGACACUGAGGCGCGAGAGCGUGGGGAGCAAACAGG
This 253-nucleotide ribosomal RNA is filed under the name uncultured bacterium. RNAcentral describes it as "partial 16S ribosomal RNA". It matches the Rfam family "Bacterial small subunit ribosomal RNA", at positions 524 to 776 of the family's 1533-position model. The record is from RNAcentral.